UGGGAAGCACAACCUAUGAAAUGGCCUAUGCGAUUGAGGGUGGUGCUUUAUCUCGCCCUCUAGGCAUAUGCUGAAAACCAGGUCCUGGAUGUUCAUAUGUCGAGUAUGGAUCAACAGUGGAACUAGGACCUCUUAAAGUUAAGAGGAAUGAGAAAGUUAUGCAGGUAUACCAUUAUAAUUUUUAUUUAUUUAUUUCUGUAGGUUUCAACUUUGCUAUGCUAGAUGGAGAACAGACAGUAAUCCUCAUGCCAUUGAACAUGGAUGAUAUGAGACAAGCUGGAAAAUCAGUGCUGCUGGCAAACAGUUCUACACCACGAAAUUAGGUAUCUUAAUCCUCUCUCUCUCUUUCUCUCUCUCUCUCUCUCUCACUCUCACUCUCAUGGUCUGACUCUUUGAAAUUUUGCAUUUGUUUUUAGUCAUUCCACUUUGUAGAUGAAUCAAAGCACUUAUUGAAUGACCAUGUUUUAUUUCUAA
This is a long non-coding RNA of Dioscorea cayenensis subsp. rotundata (Guinea yam), 474 nucleotides long. RefSeq lists it as uncharacterized. Lineage: Eukaryota; Viridiplantae; Streptophyta; Magnoliopsida; Dioscoreales; Dioscoreaceae. The record is from RefSeq and is a predicted model, not a curated record. The transcript has 3 exons.